UACAAAUUUAAUUCCUGAAAACCCCAUAUCUCGGUCUUAUCCGCCAAACCCAUUAAAACCAACCUCAAAUUUUAUCUUCUCUCGUUUCCACUGAAUCUGCCCUAGAGGCAUCACCCCGAACUGGUUCUUUGGUACAAAAUGUCAGGUUGUUGCUUCUCUUUUGCUGCUACAGCAUCUACUUCUUCUACUUCUUUACUGUAUCUCUUCACUCAAAAGCCUAAAUUCUCAGUAGACCAUCUUUCCUUAAGUACUUAUAAUACUCACUUCAACUUCAAGAUAAACUCAACAAAACUCAAAGCCCAUUUCCCCAUUUCUUCUCUUUAUCGCUCUUCAAUCUUUUUGAGCACUUGUGCUUCUGUGUCUGAUGGAGUUGAGGUUGUCCAAGAAGAUGACGAAGAAGAAGUUGCAUUGUCAGCCGAAGAAGAAGAGGAAAUUGAAGAAAAAGAAGAACGCGUUGAAUCAGAAUCAGUUGAAGGUGGUAGAUUGUACGUGGGUAAUUUGCCCUUUUCAAUGACCUCUUCUCAAUUGUCUGAAAUCUUUGCUGAAGCUGGCACAGUGGCUAAUGUUGAGAUUGUUUAUGACAGAGUUACAGAUAGGAGUCGUGGAUUUGCAUUUGUUACAAUGGGAAGUGUUGAAGAGGCAAAGGAAGCAAUUCGCUUGUUUGAUGGAUCUCAAGUUGGAGGUCGUACGGUCAAGGUGAAUUUCCCUGAGGUUCCAAGAGGAGGUGAAAGGGAAGUAAUGAGUGCAAAGAUAAGAAGCACCUAUCAAGGUUUUGUUGAUAGCCCUCACAAAUUAUACGUUGCGAAUCUUAGCUGGGCCCUCACUUCUCAAGGUCUAAGAGACGCUUUUGCUGACCAGCCCGGAUUCAUGAGUGCAAAAGUCAUCUAUGACAGGUCCUCAGGAAGAUCUCGAGGUUUUGGGUUCAUUACAUUUUCUUCUGCUGAAGCAAUGAACUCUGCACUUGAUACCAUGAAUGAAGUGGAACUUGAAGGACGGCCAUUGCGACUAAAUGUGGCUGGGCAGAAAGCUCCCGUAUCUUCUCCACCAGUUGUCGAAACAAGUCCUGAAAAUGAUUCUGACAACAGUGAAUUACUUUCUAGUCUCAGCUCAUAAGAUCACCAAGAUUCAUAACAGAAUCAGCCAUUUGAAGAACUGUAGAGUAUUAUAUGCGAUGAAGACAUGCUUUUUCCAGCUUAUGUAACCUUCUUUCAGCCUCUGCUUCUGAAGUGAUACUGGUGUUGGUCCCAACAACAAUUAGUGGAGGCUCGCUCGGAUUAACUUUUCACGGAGACUUGAGGUAGAGCUGCACGACGAUCGCAGUCUCUAAAGUCCCUUGCCUUAGUUUUACUGUUUAUUUUGUUUCAAAUAGUUAUAUUCCAUUCAAACAUUGGUUGUAGCACUUUUACUAUGCUCGUGAACUUGUGACACCCGAUUCUGGGAUUUGAUUAGUCAGUGUUUGAAGUUAUUAUAUCUA
Nicotiana tabacum (common tobacco) is the source of this 1474-nucleotide non-coding RNA. NCBI's taxonomy places the organism in Eukaryota, Viridiplantae, Streptophyta, Magnoliopsida, Solanales, Solanaceae. The record is from RefSeq and is a predicted model, not a curated record.